GUCCGCGUGGCCCAAAUGGGAGAGGCGGCUGGCUCAAACCCAGCUCACGUGCGAGUUCGAACCUCGCCGCGGACA
This is a transfer RNA of Hyalangium minutum, 75 nucleotides long. It matches the Rfam family "tRNA". From Rfam's summary of the family: Transfer RNA (tRNA) molecules are approximately 80 nucleotides in length. Their secondary structure includes four short double-helical elements and three loops (D, anti-codon, and T loops). The record is from Rfam. Lineage: Bacteria; Pseudomonadati; Myxococcota; Myxococcia; Myxococcales; Archangiaceae.